CUUUUGUGGGGUGCUCGAGUGGCGAACGGGUGAGUAACACGUGAGUAACCUGCCCUUGACUUUGGGAUAACUUCAGGAAACUGGGGCUAAUACCGGAUAGGAGCUCCUGCCGCAUGGUGGGGGUUGGAAAGUUUCGGCGGUUGGGGAUGGACUCGCGGCUUAUCAGCUUGUUGGUGGGGUAGUGGCUUACCAAGGCUUUGACGGGUAGCCGGCCUGAGAGGGUGACCGGCCACAUUGGGACUGAGAUACGGCCCAG
Molecule: ribosomal RNA, 256 nt
Filed under: uncultured Actinomycetales bacterium
Lineage: Bacteria; Bacillati; Actinomycetota; Actinomycetes; Actinomycetales
Description: partial 16S ribosomal RNA
Rfam family: Bacterial small subunit ribosomal RNA
Source: RNAcentral